UAUAUAACUCCGCCUGUAGCUCUUCUAGAUUCACUGCCGGUCCCAAGCUCGGGUAAAGGAGGAGGGUUGG
Molecule: non-coding RNA, 70 nt
Filed under: Schistosoma mansoni
Lineage: Eukaryota; Metazoa; Platyhelminthes; Trematoda; Strigeidida; Schistosomatidae
Source: RNAcentral